GAGGAAGAGGGGGGGUGUUCAAAACCACUUAAAAUCAGGUUCAAAGAAUGACAGAAAAGACAAGGAAGAAAUGUUGACUAAGAUUGUUAAUGGCUCUGUUAGCAGAAAUGAUGAGAGAGAGCAGGGAAUUAGUCAAAUAGAAGAGAAUGGAAAAGAGUUUUCUAUCUUGGAGGAGAAGAAAAAGGUUAAAAGGACAACCCAGCCAAUUUCAGAUUCAUUAGAAGGGAAAAAACAUCUAGAUGUGGC
This 246-nucleotide unclassified non-coding RNA is filed under the name Hevea brasiliensis (rubber tree). The record is from RNAcentral. Lineage: Eukaryota; Viridiplantae; Streptophyta; Magnoliopsida; Malpighiales; Euphorbiaceae.